Long non-coding RNA from Lolium perenne, 2299 nucleotides. RefSeq lists it as uncharacterized. The record is from RefSeq and is a predicted model, not a curated record. Lineage: Eukaryota; Viridiplantae; Streptophyta; Magnoliopsida; Poales; Poaceae.
CCAAAAGUUGAUCCAAUCCGAACGAAAAAUUUCGCCGGAUUUGGACGUGGGGAGCCCAACGAGUGGGGAUGCUCUUAUCCUCUUUCCCCUCUCUCUAAGAUCCCACCCACGGUGGCAUGGCCAUCGAAAUCUGUUGUCACAGUGAGCACGGCGGCCUUGGAGAGGCGGCCCAAGCAGACGGGGAUCGGCUCGCAGAGGUGGUCAUGGGCUCACCGCUGACGGCGCCAAUGUCCAUGGCCAGCAUGCUUUGGUGGCUGAAAGCUUGAGCGCACAGUGCCGGCGAGGCUCUCAGCUGCAUCCUUCAUGUGUGCAGCUCAAGGGCCAAGAAGGUAGAUGCAGUCAACGCCAAAGAGAGCGCGUCGUGCUGGCAUGGCCGGUCGUGGCCGGAUGCGGUGGUCGUCCCAUGCCCUGCUGGCGGGGAGACAUGGUGCGGCGCCAUUGCGAGCAAUAGGAAGAAGCCAUCUUUUUUGGUAGACCAGAGCCGUGAAAAGCGGCGCUGGAGAUGGAGGAAAAGGAGCGGGACAUGGGCAGCCGCCGGCAGGCAGCAGUAGCCCAAACCCAGUCCAGCCUGACGGACUAUUGCUCGGAUGAGUGCCGUCAAGGAACCACACGAGCUGCGGAUAACCAAAAUAUGCAGCAGUAAAAGCCAAUUCAGAAGGUCCGGCUGGAACUGGCGUUGUCCAUCUCCAUUGUUUGGUUAUCUAUGGCUCUAUGCCAACAACCACAACGCAGAAGCAGGACAAUCCGGUCGGCAGCCACCAACACAAUGUCCAUCCAUCAAAGGCCUGGAUCAAGUGAACUGUAAGCAUGCUCUCGGCGUUCGGUAGCGCUAGCCCUGCGCGAGGCUGCUUCCUCAAUUCUGCCGGAGGACAGGCAUCAAGGCGGCAAUCGAUGGGUGCGUGGCCACGGCUGUCUUAGUUGCACCGUGACCAGGGACACACUCACGCGCACAGCGGGGGAUCCUCAGUCGCCUUCUGGGCGGGGCACUGCUUGGCCCGCGGCGCCAUCAGUAACAUGCCUCUACAGCUCAGGCAUCGAUGAAAGCGAGCCCAACCUCGGGGAGAACCUAGUUGAUCUCUUCCACAGCUCCUUGCCGCCAGCGACGAUACAUGGCUCCCGCGUCCAUCACCAGUAGCCUCAAAAAAGGAGGGAGAUGGGAAGCGGCUGACUUGGUCGUGCUCUACAAAAUCGGCAGGCCCACAUCGCGUCAAUCAAGAAUUAGGAGCGGCUGCCGUUCAUCCUCGCAGCCAUGACCCACCAUCACCACCACACGGUUGAUGUUGCCAAUUCAUGGCGGCAGCGGGGGGAAAAAGCACCGAAGGGCCGAUGGAUCGGGGAGGCAGCUCUAGAAGAGCAAAGAAUAGAACGUGGCAAAACAAAAUCGCCGGAGAUGCAGUUGAGAGGUCCUUACCUAGGCUGGAGAGGGAGGCACCACUAUUGCCCGGGCGGCAACCUUCAUGACAUGAAGCAGAGGACGGCACUGCAGUCGACCGCCGCCGUCCAAGGAAGGAGCACCUCACUCUGACUACAGCUGGCAGUCGUGGAGGAGCUCAGUUAGAGAUAGAUGACGGCAAGGAAGAGGUCAGCUAGGGUUCAAAGUGAGCGGUGGUUUGGGGGAGGAAGACGGACAUGGAAAAGAAUUUUGGAGAUCUCUCUGGAGAAGAAAGGCCUAGAUGAAAAUAGAGAAAAAAAAUAUCUGGAGGAAGAGAUCCUAAUCGGUGGCUUAUUAAGCGGUGGAAGGUUGACCAGAAGACCGGGAGCCUAACCGGUAGCCAGCCUGAAAAAAAAAAGAUCCACCAGCACACAACCGGUAACACUUGGCUUUAACGCCUGAAAAAAAAAGAAUAAAAAGGAGGAAGAGUGGGAUCUAUGAACGUAAUUUGAGGAUCUACAGUUGUUACAGUUGUAAAAGAGUACGUGGCAUAGCUAUUCAAUCGUAAAUUCAUCCAACUUUUAUAUAGGGGUAUAACAACCUCCAUUUGGAAAUAAGUGGCUCAACUUUAUCUGGAUACAUCUACACAUCGAAAUCCAUAUCUAGAUAUAGUUAGGGCAUAUAGGGUGACGUCAGCCUUCCCUUACGGCUGCCACGUAGGAUUUUUGCUUAGUUGGAGAAGAGAGAAUGAAUAAAGAGAAGGUUGUCUUCCCUUAGCUAAGAGAUGAUCUCUUAUGAAAUAUAAGAGAAGACUAUUUUCUCCAUUAUACGAAUUGUCUUCCUUUAGACACAUAAUUUCCUACUAAAAAUAAUUAAUUCUCAUUUAUUGUAAGAGAUGAAAAUAAGAGAUAAUACAUUGUAUCAUUA